RNAcentral lists this unclassified non-coding RNA (250 nucleotides) under plant metagenome. RNAcentral's name for it is "partial contains small subunit ribosomal RNA, internal transcribed spacer 1, and 5.8S ribosomal RNA". The stretch from base 205 to 250 matches the Rfam family "5.8S ribosomal RNA", at positions 1 to 46 of the family's 154-position model. The record is from RNAcentral.
GUAGGUGAACCUGCGGAAGGAUCAUUACAGAGCUUCUAAGCCUGGAGGGUUUACUCUCCAGGCAAGAACUCCACCCUUUGUUUACAUUACCUUUGUUGCUUUAGCAGGCCCGCUUCAGGGCCGCCGGCAAUAGCUGGUCAGCGCCUGCUAGAGGACCUAAAACUCAUGUUAAUAAUAUUGUCUGAGUACUAUAAUAAUAGUUAAAACUUUCAACAACGGAUCUCUUGGUUCUGGCAUCGAUGAAGAACGC